RNAcentral lists this ribosomal RNA (343 nucleotides) under Lactobacillus sp. 3AB9. RNAcentral describes it as "bacterial SSU rRNA". It matches the Rfam family "Bacterial small subunit ribosomal RNA", at positions 20 to 334 of the family's 1533-position model. Lineage: Bacteria; Bacillati; Bacillota; Bacilli; Lactobacillales; Lactobacillaceae. The record is from RNAcentral.
UGGCUCAGGACCGAACGCUGGCGGCAUGCCUAAUACAUGCAAGUCGAACGAACUUUCCCGAUGAUUGAAGCUUGCUUCAUGAAUCGGAUCUAAGUGAGUGGCGGACGGGUGAGUAACACGUGGGUAACCUGCCCAAAAGUGGGGGAUAACAUCUGGAAACAGGUGCUAAUACCGCAUAACAACUACUUUCACAUGAUCGUAGCUUGAAAGAUGGCUCUGCUAUCGCUUUUGGAUGGACCCGCGGCGUAUUAGCUAGUUGGUGAGGUAAAGGCUCACCAAGGCAAUGAUACGUAGCCGAUCCUGAGAGGGUAAUCGGCCACAUUGGGACUGAGACACGGCCCAA